This 253-nucleotide ribosomal RNA is filed under the name uncultured bacterium. RNAcentral's name for it is "partial 16S ribosomal RNA". It matches the Rfam family "Bacterial small subunit ribosomal RNA", at positions 524 to 776 of the family's 1533-position model. The record is from RNAcentral.
UACGUAGGUGGCAAGCGUUGUCCGGAUUUAUUGGGUUUAAAGGGUGCGUAGGUGGUCUAUUAAGUCAGUGCUGAAAUGUCCCGGCUUAACCGGGAGGGUGGCAUUGAUACUGAUGGACUUGAGUAAAGUUGAGGUGGGCGGAAUUGACGGUGUAGCGGUGAAAUGCUUAGAUAUCGUCAAGAACACCUAUUGCGAAGGCAGCUCACUAAGCUUUAACUGACACUGAGGCACGAAAGUGUGGGGAUCAAACAGG